Molecule: ribosomal RNA, 431 nt
Filed under: uncultured Sebacinales
Lineage: Eukaryota; Fungi; Basidiomycota; Agaricomycetes; Sebacinales
Description: eukaryotic LSU rRNA
Rfam family: Eukaryotic large subunit ribosomal RNA
Source: RNAcentral
UGACCUCAGAUCGGGUGGGACUACCCGCUGAACUUAAGCAUAUCAAUAAGCGGAGGAAAAGAAACUAACAAGGAUUCCCCUAGUAACGGCGAGUGAAGAGGGAAAAGCUCAAAUUUUGAAUCUGAUGUCUUUGGCAUCCGAGUUGUAAUCUAGAGAAGUGUUUUCUGCCUUGGACCACACAUAAAUUCCCUGGAAUGGGGUGUCAUARAGGGUGAGAAUCCCGUUUGUGGUGUGGACUACCUUGGCUCUGUGAUACACUCUCAACGAGUCGAGUUGUUUGGGAAUGCAGCUCAAAAUGGGUGGUAAAUUCCAUCUAAAGCUAAAUACUGGCGAGAGACCGAUAGCGAACAAGUACCGUGAGGGAAASAUGAAAAGCACUUUGGAAAGAGAGUGAAACAGUACGUGAAAUUGUUGAAAGGGAAGCGUUUGAA